GGUGAAUGAAUAAACCUAAAGAAAAAAAGAGAAAAGAAAAGUAGCAACAUAAAUGGAAGAAGCCUGAAUUGCCCUAAGAGCAGAACAUUACUAUGGAUUUGAAGCUGAAAUAGAUCUGCAUUCAAAUAUUGGUGCUCUGACCCUGCUCAUGUAUGGCAGGUGGAUGUUGCCUUUAACCAGGACUAGCUCUGACAAUGAAGAAAAGGAAAGUAAAGAAAAGUGACACCUUAAAUGGAUAUAACAAAGAGUUAUUACAGUGGCUGAGCAUUGUAUCCACCUGGGCAAGAAAGGACAACAGUGGACAUACAGGU
Molecule: long non-coding RNA, 311 nt
Organism: Lynx canadensis (Canada lynx)
Lineage: Eukaryota; Metazoa; Chordata; Mammalia; Carnivora; Felidae
Exons: 3
Source: RefSeq, a predicted model, not a curated record